AUGGAGGCGCAGCCGCGGGAGAUCGACGGGCAUCCUCCUUCCUCGGCGACGGCGACCGCUUCUUCGUCCUCGUCCUCGUCGCGGACGGAGAGCGUUGCCAUGCGAAUCAGCGCUAAGAGAACCUGCUAUGCCUCUGCUUCCUCUGUCUUUGCCGCAUCCGGGCCACGAGGAUGGGUAGAGCUCCCGGAAGAUUUGCUCCAAUGUGUCGUUGCUCUCCUCGGCUCCUCCCGCGACCUCCUCGCCUUCGGUGCCACCUGUCGUCCUUGGCGUGAUCUCUUCUCGGUAUGCACGUGCUCUUUGCAGCCUCUCCUCCUACACCCGAGUGCCGACAGCAAACUAUCUCCCCAGUUUAACCGCUGGACGACCUUGCAAGGAUGCACGUGGAGAUUGGCUGAUCCUGCUGGCACCUCAUCCUAUCCCAGUUUGCUUUCCUUGAGUGACCUCAGAGGCAUGUUCUUUCUUCGCUACUCAUACGGCCACCUCAUCUUCUGCGACGAUGAUGGGUUCUACAUUGUUAAUGCCUUCAGCGGCGCUAAGGUUGUUCCUCCUUGCCUCAAGUCAGAUCACUUCACCAGCAUCAGCUAUGCCACCUUGAUUGCCCCUGAUGCAUCCGAUGACUCACAUCUCCUUGUUGGCAGUGGAGCCUAUCUGUUCCAGUGGCGCAUCGGGAGCGACUCUUGGUUCGAACACUAUCCUAAAGUUAAUUUUCUUAAGAUUGAACAAGUCGUGGCCCUGAAGGGCAAAACAUAUGCCCUAGGGUCUUUCGGGUCCUUCUGCAUUGUACAAUUCUUACCCAGUCUCUUAAUUCAGAAGUUUGAAGUUAUACUUGAGGAAGAUAGAACCAAAGAUCUUUAUUGGACAAAUAAAAAAACAUGGCUUGUUGCGUGCGGUGACGCGCUUCUUUUGAUCAAACUUGAGGCAUCAAGAAAGACAUUCUCGGAGGUCAUCCAGUUCAAGGCCUUCAAGCUUGAGUCGUUGGACACCGUGAGCAAGAAGGCAAGGUGGGUGAAGGUGGACAGGUUGGAUAACUGGGCCAUCUUUGUCAGCGCGGACGUGCGAUGCGAGGCAUUGCCAUGCAUGAACCCAGAGAGAUGGGGAGGCAGAAGCAACCACAUAUACUUCCCAAGUUAUCAUCCUGAACAACCUUGGGCUGCAGUCCAACUAUGGCAAAAACAUAACGACUGUUCAACACAUUCGCAGCUCGAGAACACUGGAAACCGGUACCGCAGAUUGGAGUCAACCUGGGUGAUUCCAAGCACGUUUCCUCGCUCUGGUUAG
RNAcentral lists this ribosomal RNA (1278 nucleotides) under Triticum aestivum (bread wheat). RNAcentral describes it as "partial small subunit ribosomal RNA". Lineage: Eukaryota; Viridiplantae; Streptophyta; Magnoliopsida; Poales; Poaceae. The record is from RNAcentral.